AGUCUCUAGUUGAAGAAGGAAUCCCUUGCUGAUUUGCGAUCAACCUGCCCCAGCAACUCGGCUACCGUUUGGCGACCAGCCGCACGCAUCCCGUAUCUUACAUGAAUUGUGUGGGGAAGUCUGCCGAAACACCUUCGAAGGACUCGGCAAAUAUCUGGAUUUUGGCAACAUUUGAGGGAAGAGGCACCGAUUUUGUUUCAAAAUGGUGGACGAAGGUGACGGAUCGUGUGUGUCUGGUGGAGUAGGAAUGUCUGGAUUGGACUGUCAAAGCUUUUAGCAGAAGGAAAAAUGAGAUGUAACGAGAGAAAAGGAAAUAAAGUGGAGUCAUGAAGUUUGCCUUGUGUUGAGCUAAACGCUGGACCUUCUACCAAAAACAAAAGAUUUAUGGAAGUCUAUUUUUAAGGAAGAGUCUAAUUUUUUUCACAAGAGAGAAUUUAUUCAGAUCUAUAUAUAUAUAUGGAUACACCACAACCAACUUACCUCAAGAAAAACCUCAUCAAUAAAUUCUAACAAUCUGGUCCUGUUGGAACCAGUAUAACACUGCCAGAGAUUCUGCAGGGCCAAAUAUCAAGAAGGAGGAAUUUCAUGAUUUUGUUAGAAUUUUUGUGCGAACACUGGUUAUUUCUCAUUCUUGAUUGACUAUUUUCAUUCCUCUGUGAUAGGAAUUUGUCUAUGAGGAGAAUUACUGUCUACAGUACUCAGAACGAACAAGUAGAACUACGAUUUUAGAUGGUUUUAUGCUACUUCUUGGAGCAGAGAGAGAAUUUGUUUAGAUUUUGUAUUUUGUAAAAAAGUGAGCGGGGCAGUGUGCCUAAUGCAGAAUAUUGAUAAAAGCGACAGAAGUGCUUGUUGGAUUGGGGCCGUUGCCUUGGCGACGCCAACAGAGGGACCACUGUGCUUUUUCGGCCUGUCUCUGUGGCUAGAGAAUUCGCAAGGAUAUGCAGCUAAGGCUGGAACUACCCGUUGUUAAUCGGUACGCGGCCCAACCAAUAAUUCGCAUGAUGACCAGAGAGGUCCCCACAGAGUGUCGACGAACGCGCCUCAUGAAGCCCGAGAUUCUCGCCAAGUUGUUGAGCAGCUCCCCCAACGGCCAAGAGAAGCCGUUGUUGGUGGACAGCCGUUCGUUUUUGGAAUACAACGUGGAACAUAUUCAGUGUGCGGUCAAUAUCAGCGGCUCCAAGUUGGUCAAGAGACGCCUUCAAACUAAUAAGGUGAGUGUU
This is a long non-coding RNA of Lytechinus pictus (painted urchin), 1220 nucleotides long. RefSeq lists it as uncharacterized. The transcript has 2 exons. Lineage: Eukaryota; Metazoa; Echinodermata; Echinoidea; Temnopleuroida; Toxopneustidae. The record is from RefSeq and is a predicted model, not a curated record.